UCCUACGGGCGGCUGCAGUCGAGAAUCUUCGGCAAUGGGCGAAAGCCUGACCGAGCGACGCCGCGUGCGGGAUGAAGGCCCUCGGGUUGUAAACCGCUGUCAGUGGGGAGGAAGGCUCUGUGAAGAGCAGGGUUUGACCUAUCCGCAGAGGAAGUCCGGGCUAAGUUCGUGCCAGCAGCCGCGGUAACACGAACCGGACAAACGUUAUUCGGAAUCACUGGGCUUAAAGGGUGCGUAGGCGGUCUGACAAGUUUGGUGUGAAAUCCCUCGGCUCAACCGAGGAAUUGCGCUCAAAACUGUUGGACUAGAGGGAGUUAGAGGUAAGCGGAACUUAGGGUGGAGCGGUGAAAUGCGUUGAUAUCCUAAGGAACACCAGUGGCGAAAGCGGCUUACUGGAGCUCUUCUGACGCUGAGGCACGAAAGCUAGGGGAGCGAACGGGAUUAGAUACCCGAGUAGUC
This 459-nucleotide ribosomal RNA is filed under the name uncultured Planctomycetaceae bacterium. RNAcentral's name for it is "bacterial SSU rRNA". It matches the Rfam family "Bacterial small subunit ribosomal RNA", at positions 337 to 795 of the family's 1533-position model. Lineage: Bacteria; Pseudomonadati; Planctomycetota; Planctomycetia; Planctomycetales; Planctomycetaceae. The record is from RNAcentral.